Gossypium arboreum is the source of this 572-nucleotide long non-coding RNA. RefSeq lists it as uncharacterized. The transcript is spliced from 2 exons. The record is from RefSeq and is a predicted model, not a curated record. Lineage: Eukaryota; Viridiplantae; Streptophyta; Magnoliopsida; Malvales; Malvaceae.
GAAAAAACCUGACAUAACAGUAAAGAAAGUCUAAAAAGAAGCAGAAACGACAAAAAUAAACCACUACAGAAGCUAACUAAUCAAAUCCAAACAGAAAAGCAAAAACCAACAAAGCAAACCAACACAAAACCAGCCACAGAAGGAGAAAACCACCAGCAGAAAACAAGAGGAAUAUCAGCCAAAAGCUUUCCAGAGAAAAAACCCCAUUAGAAGCACAAAACAGAGAUUAAAAUUGACUUUGAAACCCAGCAAAGGAGAUUCCGCGAACCUUAUCCAAUCUUCAAAGUCUACUCACAUCUCAAACCUAAAGGAAGAAAGUAGAGCGGUCCAUCUCAGCUAAAUCUGCAACAGAGGAAGGAGCCUCCUCAACCCAAGAAUAGGGAGAUACCCGAUGUCGUCCCUCCAUCGCUAAAGCAUGCGCCGCUCUAUUUAUUUCUCUGGAGACAAACUGUUUCUUGAUGACAGUAAGAGAGUCACCUUCCAGGAUGAGAUUUCUGAAACCCAUAUCUAGCGCAAAACAAAAAGCCCGUUCACACGCUCUCGCCUCAGCUACAAAAGCAUCUGCCACAUCC